AUAGAUCUGCGGUGUACGGAGUCCGACGCUAAACGGAAUCCACAUUAUAAAAUAGGGAGCAAGUUAUUCAGGACGAUAGGCAAGGUCUGUUUUACGGAAAGCCCGACGCGUUCAGAUACGGCACCCACCUGCUGAAAACGCGGGUUCAACUUUCGUCGGGGUGCGGCACAGGCGGAUUUCUU
Molecule: non-coding RNA, 182 nt
Filed under: Clostridia bacterium
Lineage: Bacteria; Bacillati; Bacillota; Clostridia
Description: 6S RNA
Rfam family: 6S / SsrS RNA
About the family: E. coli 6S RNA was the first non coding RNA to be sequenced, but its function was unknown until recently. It consists of 184 nucleotides that fold into an extended hairpin structure with a large single-stranded internal bulge.
Source: RNAcentral